CCCUUAGAUGUUCUGGGCCGCACGCGUGCUACGCUGAGUGGAUCAGCGGGUCAGGUUGCGCGAAAGUGUUUCCUAAUCUUGAAAUCCGCUCGUGAUGGGGAUUGACGGUUGCAAUUUUCCGUCAUGAACGAGGAAUACCUUGUAAGCGCGGGUCAUCAUCCCGCGCUGAAUACGUCCCUGCCCUUUGUACACACCGCCCGUCGCUCCUACCGAUUGAGUGGUCCGGUGAGGCUUUGGGAUCUGAGCAAAGAGAGCGUUUCGCUCGUUUUGCCCGGAAAACUCAGUCGAACCUUAUCAUUUAGAGGAAGGAGAAGUCGUAACA
This 322-nucleotide ribosomal RNA is filed under the name uncultured eukaryote. RNAcentral describes it as "partial 18S ribosomal RNA". It matches the Rfam family "Eukaryotic small subunit ribosomal RNA", at positions 1470 to 1796 of the family's 1831-position model. The record is from RNAcentral.